Long non-coding RNA from Glycine soja, 735 nucleotides. RefSeq lists it as uncharacterized. Lineage: Eukaryota; Viridiplantae; Streptophyta; Magnoliopsida; Fabales; Fabaceae. The record is from RefSeq and is a predicted model, not a curated record. The transcript is spliced from 2 exons.
UAUAAUCACUGGCAUGACAGCAAAGUAGUGAAUAAGAAAGGCAUCGUAAAAGCAUUUGAUACUGAUCUUUCGUACUUUCAUUCCAUGAAGCACUCUGGAAGUGAUGGAGAAAAGUUCAUCAACUCGUAGAACAAGCUUGCUUUCGUGUUGGGGGUGUCUCAAAUUGAAGCUUCCUUGGACAAGGAGAACAAGCACUUACAAACCCGUUGGUGGUUUUGGGUAUGACCCUUUAAGCUAUGCUCAAAACUUCGAUGAGGGUUGCAUGGACGACGAGGAAGACGAACCUACUUCGCGUCGUAGAUUCUCUGAUAGAUUUGCUGCCCCCGUAUCAAGUUCAACUAAAACUCUCAAAUAAGGAUAAGGUUCAAGUUUUGAAGCUUACAAAGGACACAAAUUUGCUCCACUGUAUAAUCAAUUUAAUUUGCUGUGACUUUUGUAUCCAACAACUUCAAGAGAGAUUGGUUAUUCACUUAUUCCUUGGAAUAACUGGAAACUUUUGUUAGCUUACUAUUUAGCAUAUAUUUGCAAUGGUUAUUUGUAUUAUAUAUGUAGUGAAACUACAUAUAUAUAUAUAUAUAUAUAUUCCUUAGUUUAAUGUACGCUAUAUGUGAAAGUGGUUGGCUCUACGAGAUGAUCGAGGGGAUUUUCCUGUUCUAAACAGAAAACUACUACAGGAGUUUGAGAGAUAUUCAUUUUCAUUCCUUUUGAGCUUAUUGAUUUUCCUUUUUCUCAUAA